AAAUCAGGCCACCUGAGCCAGCAGCGGCAACCCGCUUGGGUCCCCUUCCAUGCUGUGGAAGCUUUGUUCUUUCACUCUUCACAAUAAAUCUUGCUGCUGCUCACUCUUUGGGUCCGCACUGCCUUUAUGAGCUGUAACACUCACCACGAAGGUCUGCAGCUUCACUCCUGAAGCCAGCGAGACCACAAACCCACCGGGAGGAACGAACAACUCCGGAUGCGCCGCCUUUAUGAACUGUAACACUCACUGCGAAGGUCUGCAGCUUCACUCCUGAAGCCAGCGAGACCACGAACCCACCGGGAGGAACGAACAACUCCGGAUGCGCCGCCUUUAUGAACUGUAACACUCACUGCGAAGGUCUGCAGCUUCACUCCUGAAGUCAGCAAGACCACGAACCCACCGGGAGGAAGAAACUCUGGACACAUCUGAACAUCUGAAGGAACAAACUCUGGACACACCAUCUUUAAGAACUUUAACACUCACCGCAAGGGUCCACGGCUUCAUUCUUGAAGUCAGCGAGACCAAGAACCCACCGGAAGGAAUCAAUUCUGGACACAUUUUGGUGACCACGAAGGGACCAUUGACUAUUGCCAAGCAUUAAGGUGGCAGGAGUGGAAUCUUGGAUUCACCACACCCGAGUUACAUUUUGGACAUCCCCUGAGGAACCUGCAGGACUGUCAGCUCAGGAGUCUCAAGCCAGACCAGCCUCGAUACACCUGCGAACCAUUGGAGGACUUGCAUCUCCUAUUUCGGAAGGAAACAUCCCAGACUAAAAAGGCUCCUACCGCUGAUCCUGAAGAAAAAUCCCUUUCUCCUUAAAAAAGAUAAGUGAAAACCUACAUAAUCUUUAACACCUCUCCUUGCCCCUUUAAUGGAAUCCUUUUACUAUUUCAUCAUAUUAUUAAGCAGCAUACUAACCAUACUCUUUGCGAUAGGACUGUAUACUGUAGCUCCUGCUGGGAGAAAAAUCCUAAUCACAUCAACCUUCUAUCUUCCUUCCUUCUGACAGCAAUUUACUCCUGCCUUUAACUCAGACUGGAUAAAAUGGUCUCGUCUUCCAGAGCACCCUCUUUACCUUCCUAUUUACUCUUUGCCUAUCUAUCCCUCCUGCUUCCUUGGAUACCUCAUACAAUUGCCCCUCCCCUUCCACUAGCUCCUAAUUACCUCUACAAGUCUCUCAACUUAACCUACUCUCUGUUAAACCAGUCCAAUCCUUCCCUGGCAAAUGACUGUUGGCUUUGUAUCUCUCUAUCAACCUCUGCUUACACUGCCACUCCCAUUCCUGCAAAAAACUGGGUCUUUACCAAAUUAACCUACCACCCUCGUUAUGAAGGAAAAGACCCUUUCUGACUUUUAAAUAUGCAAUCAUUAGCCAACUUCCCCAUCUCUGAUAGGAACAAGAAUACCCUAACAGGAUGUGCAAUCCAACUUUUACGUUCUUACAUUUCCAACCUCACCUAUUACACAAGCAAUGAAAAGCCCAUACACGGCCCUGUAACUACAAAUACUAUCUUAACUUUCCAAGCCCCUUUAUGCAUCCAACGCAACCUGUUAUCAGGCCUGCCCCUGGGGCACUUACUACCCCAUCAGUGUAAUUACACGCUACAACUUCAAGCCCCAACUGAUCAUAGUAACUUCUGAGUCACCCAAACAGCUCCAUUUAGAUGGCUUGUCUGCUUCUUGGGGCCCCCAAAAAUCAUCACCUCCUCCCUGCUUAACAAAUAGUCCAGGGUUUGUAAUGGCAAACAUACUCCCUGCAUGACCAUUCACCCCUGCACCCCCUGCAGCAGCGCCCCCACCACUAGUGAAUGCCUUCUCAUCCCCUCUUUCAAUCACUCUCUCGAGUGGUUCCUAGUAGAUAUAAAAUGUUUUUUUCUCCAAUGGGAAAAUAGAACACAGGGAGCCACUCAGUUUGCUCCCAACACCCCUUUCCAGCCGCUCACUGGAGCUACCUUGGCAAGUACUCUAGGAGUAUGGGAAAAUGAAAACAACAAAUUCACACAUCUUUUUAACAUACACAACCAGUUCUGUCUACCCAGCUAAGGUAUACUCUUCUUAUGUGGAAUGUCGACCUAUAUCUGCCUCCCCACUAACUGGACAGGCACCUGCACCUUAGUCUUUCUAAGUCCCAACAUUAAUAUUGCCCCGGGAAGUCAGACCUUAUCAGUACCCCUCAAAGCUCAAGUCCGUCAGCGCAAAGCCAUACAACUAAUACCCCUACUUAUAGGGUCAGGAAUGGCUACUGCUACAGGAACUGGAAUAGCCAGUUUAUCUACUUCAUUAUCCUACUACCACACAUUCUCAAAGGAUUUCUCAGACAGUUUGCAAGAAAUCACGAAAUCUAUCCUUACUCUACAAUCCCAAAUAGACUCUUUGGCAGCAGUGACUCUCCAAAAGCGCUGAGGCCUAGACCUCCUCACGGCUGAGAAAGGAGGAGUCUGCACCUUCUUAGGGGAAGAGUGUUGUUUUUACCCUAACCAGUCAGGGAUAGUACUAAAUGCCGCCCGGCAUUUACAGGAAAAGGCUUCUGAAAUCAGACAACGCCUUUCAAACUCUUAUACCAACCUCCGGAGUUGGGCAACAUGGCUUCUCCCCUUUCUAGGUCCCGUGGCAGCCAUCUUGCUGUUACUCGCCUUUGGGCCCUGUAUUUUUAACCUUCUUGUCAAAUUUGUUUCCUCUAAAAUCAAGGCAAUCAAGCUACAGAUGGUCUUACAAAUGGAACUCCGAAUGAGUUCAACUAACAACUUCUACUGAGGACCCCUGGACCGACCCGCUGGCCCUUCCACUGGCCUAAAGAGUUUCCCUCUGGAGGACACCACAACUGCAGGGCCCCUGCUUCACCCCUAUCCAGCAGGAAGUAGCUAGAGCAGUCAUUGGCCAAAUUCCAAACAGCAGUUGGGGUGUCCUGUUUAGAGGGGAAAUUGAGAGGUGAAGCCAGCUGGGCUUCUGGGUUGGGUGGGGACUUGGAGAACUUUUCUGUCUAGCUAAAGGAUUGUAAAUGCACCAGUCAGUGCUCUGUGUCUAGCUAAAGGUUUGUAAAUGCACCAAUCAGCACUCUAUAAAAAUGGACCAAUCAGCACUCUGUAAAAUGGACCAAUCAGCUCUCUGCAAAAUGGAUCACUCAGUAGGAUGCAGGUGGGGCCAAAUAAGGGAAUAAAAGCAGGCCACCUGCACCACCAGCAGCAACCCACUUGGGUCCCCUCCACACAGUGGAAGCUUUGUUCUUUUGCUCUUCACAAUAAAUCUUGCUGCUGCUCACUCUUUGGGUCCGCACUGCCUUUAUCAGCUGUAACACUCACCACGAAGGUCUGCAGCUUCACUCGUGAAGCCAAUGAGACCACAAACUCACCGGGAGGAAUGAACAACUCUGGAUGCGCUGCCUUUAUGAGGUGUAACACUCACCACGAAGAUCUGCAGCUUCACUCCUGAAGCCAGCGAGACCAUGAACCCACCGGGAGGAAUGAACAACUCCGGACGCGCCGCCUUUAUGAACUGUAACACUCACUGCGAAGGUCUGUGGCUUCACUCCUGAAAUCAGCGAGACCACGAACCCACCAGAAGGAAGAAAUUCUGGACACAUCUGAACAUCUGAAGGAACAAACUCCGGACACACCAUCUUUAAGAACUUUAACACUCACCGCGAGGGUCCACAGCUUCAUUCUUGAAGUCAGUGAGACCAAGAACCCACUGGAAGGAACCAAUUCCGGAUACAAAAUGUCUCCAUGCAUGCCUCACCUGCAGUGCCAUACGCUGGUUGAUAUUAAUAAUAAGACAGAUUUUGCAGAGCAUUGUUGGUGCGUAUGCUACCCAUACUCCUAUCGACCAGGCUUGCACCUUCCAGGGCCAUGCUUUCCAGCCUAAACAAUCACAGAUCAGGCCCAGACUGCACUCCCUGGGAGCUUUGGAAAAAGCUGCAUCAAACCAGAGCUUCUCCCCAAGCCCAGCAAACCACUCAUGGCUCAGGUAGUCCUUCCUGGAAGACCAAAGUGUUGGAAGUAAAUGCUUAUUCCCCGAUGUUACAGAGAAGAAUCCGCAAUUAGACAAAAUGUUUCCUCAACAGGAAACUCUUUUUACUCUUUGCAGAAAGGGUGGUGCCUGUCAGCAAUCCUGCCAGGAGUACCCACAAAGUAAAAAAGAUACUAGAAUAGUUUUGCCUUACACAUGAGGUCCCUAUUGCUGUGUCCUGACUCCAUUGGCUGGAGCCAGACCUCACAAUCUAAACUAAAACCCGAUUGGCUAACAGUUCAAAACUUUUUAAAAUAGGUAAAGGCAGUGAGGAACAAAGGAAAAAAAGGAAGUUGCUUAUGAAAGGACUUAGAAAAGUAAUAAUAUUCCCAAAUAAGGGAGGAGGGUAGGCUGCAAGCUGGGACAUGCCUGGGCAUGUCCAGCACGAAUAUUCUGACUAAGGUACAAGGACAUAGAAUGUACUACAUGCCUGUGAGCAUGUUUAACAGAUACUGAAGUCAGAGUAUGCUUAUUCUGUUACCUUUGCUACAUAAGGCUUAACAGAGAGUUAUUACUAUAAAAUAAGAAACUUAAAGUUAGUUUUGAGAAAAGAUAUCAAUAACAUUUAUGAUUUAAAGGGAUUUGAAGAGGAACUUUUGCUUUCUACACAAAGCCUCCUCAUUCAUUGAAGAGGAAAACUCUUGGUGGGGACAAGAGUGAAUUUACUUUAAAUACCAAUCCACUGACUAAUCCCAAGUCUGGGAAUGCCUCCAAAAUGUUGAGUUGAUGUAUUAUUAUUUAUGUAGAAACACCCAUUUACUGUAAGUUUCCUUCAAAACAACCCUCGUUGCUGUUGCAGAAAUCAUAGGCUGUGACGCUGGUAGCCACCUACACAUUCCUUCUAGAACACGUAUAUUUUUCCCCAAGAUAUAAGCCCUGGGUCUAGGGGGUUGUGGUGCAGAGAUCUACCUAUCUUGUAGCCGCCCAAGACCACGUUUCUGUUUGUAAAUUUCCCUAAUAAAUCACCCAGAACCACA
Molecule: long non-coding RNA, 4982 nt
Organism: Homo sapiens (human)
Lineage: Eukaryota; Metazoa; Chordata; Mammalia; Primates; Hominidae
Exons: 2
Source: RefSeq, a predicted model, not a curated record